GACGAACGCUGGCGGCGUGCUUAACACAUGCAAGUCGAACGGAAAGGCCCUGCUUUUGUGGGGUGCUCGAGUGGCGAACGGGUGAGUAACACGUGAGUAACCUGCCCUUGACUUUGGGAUAACUUCAGGAAACUGGGGCUAAUACCGGAUAGGAGCUCCUGCGGCAUGGUGGGGGUUGGAAAGUUUCGGCGGUUGGGGAUGGACUCGCGGCUUAUCAGCUUGUUGGUGGGGUAGUGGAUUACCAAGGCUUUGACGGGUAGCCGGGCUGAGAGGGUGCCCGGCCACAUUGGGACUGAGAUACGGCCCAGACUCCUACGGGAGGCAGCAGUGGGGAAUAUUGCACAAUGGGCGGAAGCCUGAUGCAGCAACGCCGCGUGCGGGAUGACGGCCUUCGGGUUGUAAACCGCUUUCGCCUGUGACGAAGCGUGAGUGACGGUAAUGGGUAAAGAAGCACCGGCUAACUACGUG
Molecule: ribosomal RNA, 468 nt
Filed under: uncultured bacterium
Lineage: Bacteria
Description: partial 16S ribosomal RNA
Rfam family: Bacterial small subunit ribosomal RNA
Source: RNAcentral